UACGAGAGCCCCAAGCGUUAUCCGGAAUUAUUGGGCGUAAAGGGUAUGUAGGCGGCAUUGUUAGUCUUUCGUUAAAUUCUUCGGCUUAACCGGGGGCAUGCGAGAGAUACGGCAACGCUAGAGGAUGCGAGAGGUACAUGGAACUCAUAGUGUAGGGGUGAAAUCCGUUGAUAUUAUGGGGAACACCGAAUGCGAAGGCAAUGUACUGGCGCACUCCUGACGCUGAAAUACGAAAGCGUGGGUAGCGAAUGGG
RNAcentral lists this ribosomal RNA (253 nucleotides) under uncultured bacterium. RNAcentral's name for it is "partial 16S ribosomal RNA". It matches the Rfam family "Bacterial small subunit ribosomal RNA", at positions 524 to 776 of the family's 1533-position model. The record is from RNAcentral.